Molecule: non-coding RNA, 216 nt
Filed under: Evansella cellulosilytica
Lineage: Bacteria; Bacillati; Bacillota; Bacilli; Caryophanales; Bacillaceae
Description: Bacillus cellulosilyticus T-box sequence
Rfam family: T-box leader
About the family: Uncharged tRNA acts as the effector for transcription antitermination of genes in the T-box leader family. T-boxes are found upstream of many aminoacyl-tRNA synthetase genes and some amino acid biosynthetic genes usually in Gram-positive bacteria. The anticodon of a specific tRNA base pairs to a specifier sequence within the T-box motif, and the NCCA acceptor tail of the tRNA base pairs to a conserved bulge in the T-box antiterminator hairpin.
Source: RNAcentral
AUACGAGUGAUGACAGGAAAUAGUAACAAGUACUGUGCUUUCAGAGAGCCGAUGGGUGCUGUGAAUCGGUAGGACAUAUUUGUGAAUCCAUCCUAGAGCAAAUUGUUGAACAACUAGUAGGCAAUUUCGGUAAUCGGCCGUUAUCCGAUUUAAAGUGAAGGUAUAUGAUAUAUACUUUAACUAGGGUGGCAACGCGGGUUAACUCUCGUCCCUUAU